GCGGGAGUAGCUCAGUGGCAGAGCUCCUGCCUUCCAAGCAGGUCACACGGGUUCGAUUCCCGUCUCCCGCU
This is a non-coding RNA of Candidatus Aminicenantes bacterium RBG_16_66_30, 71 nucleotides long. Lineage: Bacteria; Candidatus Aminicenantota. The record is from Rfam.